Molecule: ribosomal RNA, 637 nt
Filed under: uncultured bacterium
Lineage: Bacteria
Description: bacterial SSU rRNA
Rfam family: Bacterial small subunit ribosomal RNA
Source: RNAcentral
GCUCAACCGGGGAGGGUCAUUGGAAACUGGGGAACUUGAGUGCAGAAGAGGAGAGUGGAAUUCCACGUGUAGCGGUGAAAUGCGUAGAGAUGUGGAGGAACACCAGUGGCGAAGGCGACUCUCUGGUCUGUAACUGACGCUGAGGCGCGAAAGCGUGGGGAGCGAACAGGAUUAGAUACCCUGGUAGUCCACGCCGUAAACGAUGAGUGCUAAGUGUUAGAGGGUUUCCGCCCUUUAGUGCUGCAGCAAACGCAUUAAGCACUCCGCCUGGGGAGUACGGUCGCAAGACUGAAACUCAAAGGAAUUGACGGGGGCCCGCACAAGCGGUGGAGCAUGUGGUUUAAUUCGAAGCAACGCGAAGAACCUUACCAGGUCUUGACAUCCUCUGACAACCCUAGAGAUAGGGCUUCCCCUUCGGGGGCAGAGUGACAGGUGGUGCAUGGUUGUCGUCAGCUCGUGUCGUGAGAUGUUGGGUUAAGUCCCGCAACGAGCGCAACCCUUGAUCUUAGUUGCCAGCAUUCAGUUGGGCACUCUAAGGUGACUGCCGGUGACAAACCGGAGGAAGGCGGGGACGACGUCAGAUCAUCAUGCCCCUUAUGACCUGCGCUACACACGUGCUACAAUGGCGUAUACAACG